Long non-coding RNA from Lathyrus oleraceus (garden pea), 1029 nucleotides. RefSeq lists it as uncharacterized. The record is from RefSeq and is a predicted model, not a curated record. The transcript is spliced from 3 exons. NCBI's taxonomy places the organism in Eukaryota, Viridiplantae, Streptophyta, Magnoliopsida, Fabales, Fabaceae.
CUCAACCCGCCCCCUAUUUUGGAAUGAGAUAUUUUAUUUUCAAUUAGCUCUAUUUUUAUGUCCAGACCCAAAAACUCAUUCUCUGUUGUAUAAGAGCAUAAAUCAUUCUCCUUCUGUAUGAGUAUGAAACCAUCUCACUCUCAUGAAAAUGGAGAAUACAUACUCACUUGGAUUCAGCUGUCACCGCACGUUCUCCAUGUCUUUCAAUCUUCGGCCACACAUUUUUCUUAUCUCUCCAUCUUCAUUCACAUAUUCUCCUUGUCUAUCCAUCUUCAGCCAACCCUUCCUUUUAUCUCUCCAUCUUCGGCCACACCCUUCUCCUUUUCAAAAACACAAAUUUGGUUUUCUCAUGAUUCUAACCAUUCUAUCACAAAACCCUUAGUGAUUAUCGUAAACCCUAAAAUUUCAUCGUUGUUCGAAUCGUCACUCAUCUCCAAUAGAUCUCGCUUCUUCAAAUAUUCAUUAUAAUCAUGUUUUGUUUUACAGGUUAAGGAAAGGAGGCAAGAGAUUUUAUAACUUAGAGAAGGUCUGAAGGAAGCUUAAGGUUCGGAUCUAGGUUUUUGGUACUGAAGUAGUGAGGUCAUUCUUCAAUGUUUCUAACUUCACCGAAGGAAGGAUGUUGAACGUGUUUGUCAAAGCUAUUAUGUUGAAUUAUCGAUUUUGAUUUCUAUGAGGGAGCAUAGUUCUUUAGGGGAAAUUUGGUGUUUAAUCUCUUUGAGAAACAAGCUGAACCUCUUCCUAUUUUUCUUCUUCAGAUGCAACAUUUUAGUACUCUCCCUAAGAUGCCAAUUAAAGAUAUGACACAACAGGUAGAAAGAGACUUUCUAGUGAUAUACUUAUUUUAGGGUCUUCUUUGUUGUAUGAAGUUUUAGCAUUAUUGACUCUGAUUUAGAUAGUUAAAUGAUGUAUGGAAUUUAUAUAGACUACUCUACAUGCUAGAAGGGUUGUAUGUUGGAAGACUCUCUCCGACAGCCAAUGAGAAAGUAUAAGGAUUUAACAAGCCAUCUAUAGUAUCAAUAUUUAUGACUA